AGCAGGUACGAAAGUAGGUCUUAGUGAUCCGGUGGUUCUGUAUGGAAGGGCCAUCGCUCAACGGAUAAAAGGUACUCUGGGGAUAACAGGCUGAUACCGCCCAAGAGUUCAUAUCGACGGCGGUGUUUGGCACCUCGAUGUCGGCUCAUCUCAUCCUGGGGCUGAAGCAGGUCCCAAGGGUAUGGCUGUUCGCCAUUUAAAGAGGUACGCGAGCUGGGUUUAGAACGUCGUGAGACAGUUCGGUCCCUAUCUACCGUGGGCGCUGGAAAUUUGAGAGGAUCUGCUCCUAGUACGAGAGGACCAGAGUGGACGAACCUCUGGUGUACCGGUUGUGACGCCAGUCGCAUCGCCGGGUAGCUAUGUUCGGAAGGGAUAACCGCUGAAAGCAUCUAAGCGGGAAGCCUACCUCAAGAUAAGAUUUCCCUAGGACUUUAUGUCCUCUAAAGAGCCGUUCGAGACUAGGACGUUGAUAGGUUGGAUGUGGAAGCAUAGUGAUAUGUGAAGCUGACCAAUACUAAUUGCUCGUGAGGCUUGACUAU
This 539-nucleotide ribosomal RNA is filed under the name Acinetobacter baumannii. Its description in RNAcentral is "partial 23S ribosomal RNA". It matches the Rfam family "Bacterial large subunit ribosomal RNA", at positions 2392 to 2925 of the family's 2925-position model. Lineage: Bacteria; Pseudomonadati; Pseudomonadota; Gammaproteobacteria; Moraxellales; Moraxellaceae. The record is from RNAcentral.